AAUGAAGCAAAAGGUUUCACUGUGGCACUCAAGAUUCUGUUCAGCUGAAAUUCAGUGAUAUUUUGAAGAAAUGCCCACUAGAGAAGAUUGGGUUUGAGGCCAUCUAAGCAACAUGGAGAUAAAUGGGUCCAUGAGGUGCAUCUGAGGGCCCUGGGGGAACUGGCAGAUGAAGUUGUUAAGCCAUCGUCCAUCAGAUUUGGUGUCUGGGGACAUUAAAUGGCAGAGAGAAGGGAGAGAGGAAGAAGAGACUCUCAAGCCCAGUGGAAAGAAACUUCAAAGCAUCACCAAUUUAUCUGAAAAUCUUUAAUGGUUCAAAUUACCCAAGAAUCUCAAGAAGCACUCAGAGAGGGAUGAAGAAGUAGUAGUGUGACUUACGUAUGAUUGACAAGGAGAGAGCAGGAUCUUCCCCAGUACGCAUUUCUGCAGCUCUUCUGUUCCAUUAAUAUCAAGUUAAAAUAUUCUUUUAGGAGUCCUUCCAAAACAACAAGUUUUUCUACAUCCAAGUGUCUUUGUAGGAAAAGACUUUGUAGGAAAAAACUUCGUGGGCUUUUUUGGUUAUUUUCUUUUCUCCUUGUAUAGAAAUGCUAAUGGAAUGGGCUGGAAUAACAAAGGAUAAGCAGACUCAUUUUUAAAAACCAUUUCUGAUAAAGAAAGCCUCCCCAAAGCCUCUGCUGUGCAGAGAAGUGAUAUCUCAAGCUACAGACACAAUUACCACCAGUAACCGAGAUCUUCACUUGGAAACAAGACCGAGCUGCGAGCCCUCCUCACUCCCACUCCUCGUGGCUGCAUUUCAGGGAGCUGUGCAGGGUGCUGGGGUGGCCGCACCCAGGGAUGCUCUGCGUGGCUCCAUCCAUCACAUGGCACAUGUCCUCCCUGCACCACGGCCAGCAACAGCUUCAGAUUUUCUCAAGGGUUCCCAUUUUACAAGCACAACUCCUCUGUUCAUCAAGCUACAGUGCAGGAAUAACUUAGCUGGCAGCUCGUCAGGCUGAAAUCUGGAACUGCAGUAAUGGUUGCUCGUUUGGUAGGACCAAAGAGCUUAAUUACAUACACCAAAUGACUCGAGUUCCAAACAGUUGUAUUCUCAUUUUAAUUAAACUGUAGGAGCCAAUAAUUAUCUCCUCUUUUCUUACACUGAGCAAUAGUGGUCUUCAUCCUUCAUGAACAGCAUCCUUGAUAAUGAAGAAAAAAAGUUAUUUGAAUAAAAAUUUAUUGCUGAGUACUAAA
This is a long non-coding RNA of Anas platyrhynchos (mallard), 1227 nucleotides long. RefSeq lists it as uncharacterized. Lineage: Eukaryota; Metazoa; Chordata; Aves; Anseriformes; Anatidae. The record is from RefSeq and is a predicted model, not a curated record.